Molecule: ribosomal RNA, 331 nt
Filed under: uncultured bacterium
Lineage: Bacteria
Description: bacterial SSU rRNA
Rfam family: Bacterial small subunit ribosomal RNA
Source: RNAcentral
CGCGUAGGCGGCGAUAUCAGUCAGAUGUGAAAUUCCUGGGCUUAACCUGGGGGCUGCAUUUGAGACGGUAUUGCUUGAGUUUGGAAGAGGGUCGUGGAAUUCCCAGUGUAGAGGUGAAAUUCGUAGAUAUUGGGAAGAACACCGGUGGCGAAGGCGGCGACCUGGUCCUCGACUGACGCUGAGGCGCGAAAGCGUGGGGAGCAAACAGGAUUAGAUACCCUGGUAGUCCACGCUGUAAACGAUGUGCGCUGGAUGUUGGGCGGCCUAGCCGUUCAGUGUCGUAGCUAACGCGGUAAGCGCACCGCCUGGGGAGUACGGCCGCAAGGUUGAA